CCUGAGAAACGGCUACCACAUCCAAGGAAGGCAGCAGGCGCGCAAAUUACCCACUCCCAGCACGGGGAGGUAGUGACGAAAAAUAACGAUACGGGACUCAUCCGAGGCCCCGUAAUCGGAAUGAGCACACUUUAAAUACUUUAACAAGUAUCCAUUGGAGGGCAAGUCUGGUGCCAGCAGCUGCGGUAAUUCCAGCUCCAAUAGCGUAUAAUAAAGUUGUUGCGGUUAAAAAGCUCGUAGUUGAAGUUGUGAAUCGCACUGUUGGUGCACCAAUUUUCGGUGUUUAACUUACAUGUUGCAAUUCGUCCAGUCAGUGGGAUAUGGUAUGUAAUAGUUUGCUUUCGUUCUUUUCUAAAGGCGGAAUGCAGCUAUUGUCAGCCUUUCUCUUUUCACCCAUUACGGUGCUCUUUACUGAGGGAGAGGGUGACGUUUACUUUGAACAAAUUAGAGUGCUUAAAAGAGGCAUUAUGCCUGAAUAUUGUGUGCAUGGAAUAAUAGAAUAAGACCUCGGUUCUAUUUUGUUGGUUUUCUGAACCAGAGGUAAUGAUUGAUAGGAACGGACGGGGGCAUUCGUAUUGAGAGCUUAGAGGUGAAAUUCUUGGACCGUCGCAAGACGGACAGAAGCGAAAGCAUUUGCCAAGAACGUUUUCAUUAAUCAAGAACGAAAGUUAGAGGUUCGAAGGCGAUCAGAUACCGCCCUAGUUCUAACCAUAAACGAUGCCAGCCAGCGAUCCGCCGAAGUUCCUCCGAUGACUUAGCGGGCAGCUUCCGGGAAACCAAAGCUUUUGGGUUCCGGGGGAAGUAUGGUUGCAAAGCUGAAACUUAAAGGAAUUGACGGAAGGGCACCACCAGGAGUGGAGCCUGCGGCUUAAUUUGACUCAACACGGGAAACCUCACCAGGCCCGGACACCGGAAGGAUUGACAGAUUGAGAGCUCUUUCUUGAUUCGGUGGGUGGUGGUGCAUGGCCGUUCUUAGUUGGUGGAACGAUUUGUCUGGUUAAUUCCGAUAACGAACGAGACUC
This 1022-nucleotide ribosomal RNA is filed under the name Labidura riparia. Its description in RNAcentral is "SSU rRNA". It matches the Rfam family "Eukaryotic small subunit ribosomal RNA", at positions 395 to 1343 of the family's 1831-position model. Lineage: Eukaryota; Metazoa; Arthropoda; Insecta; Dermaptera; Labiduridae. The record is from RNAcentral.